CCUACGGGGGGCAGCAGUGGGGAAUAUUGGGCAAUGGGCGCAAGCCUGACCCAGCAACGCCGCGUGAAGGAAGAAGGCUUUCGGGUUGUAAACUUCUGUUAUAAAGGAAGAAAGACGGAUGGAGGAAAUGACAUCCGAGUGACGGUACUUUAUGAGACAGCCACGGCUAACUCCGUGCCAGCAGCCGCGGUAAUACGGAGGGUGCGAGCGUUAAUCGGAAUUACUGGGCGUAAAGCGCUCGUAGGCGGUAUGUCAAGUCAAGGGUGAAAUCCCCGCGCUCAACGUGGGAACUGCCUUUGAAACUGGCAAACUGGAGUGUGUGAGAGGAGAGUGGAAUUCCAGGUGUAGGAGUGAAAUCCGUAGAUAUCUGGAGGAACAUCAGUGGCGAAGGCGACUAGCUGGCACAUAACUGACGCUGAGGAGCGAAAGCGUGGGUAGCAAACAGGAUUAGAUACCCCAGUAGUC
RNAcentral lists this ribosomal RNA (465 nucleotides) under uncultured bacterium. RNAcentral's name for it is "partial 16S ribosomal RNA". It matches the Rfam family "Bacterial small subunit ribosomal RNA", at positions 338 to 795 of the family's 1533-position model. The record is from RNAcentral.